Molecule: long non-coding RNA, 586 nt
Organism: Contarinia nasturtii (swede midge)
Lineage: Eukaryota; Metazoa; Arthropoda; Insecta; Diptera; Cecidomyiidae
Exons: 3
Source: RefSeq, a predicted model, not a curated record
UUCAAUUCAUAAGUUGUUACACAGUUCAACAAUCAACUAAAAUGAAAUUGAAAGCGACCUUUUCUGUUCUUCUUCUAUUUUGUGUAAUAUUCGGCCAGUUGCGAGCAGAACUUAAUGAGGACAUGGAAGAUGUUAAGAAUGAAGUCGAUGAAGCAAAAGAAACAAAUGUUAUCGAAGACGUAAUUGAAGAUGAGAAGCCACUAUUGCCACCAAAAAAAGAGACUAAGCGCCCAACCAACGUAAUAGAUAUAAUUGAUGAUGAACUUUGUCAAUGGAAAAGUAAAAAGGGGAAAAAGGCCGCCUCCAACAAAUGUAAAAAAAGAUGCAAAGCAGAAGGUCAUACGAGGGGUAAAUGUGGACACAAUCACGUUUGCCAAUGCAGAGAACGUCAGGUGAAAUCCGUAAAUCAAUGAUCGAUCGAAUGCUAACAAUCAAAUAUAAACCAAUAUAAUGUAAAACAUGUUUGGACCUGGCUUAUAACAUCGAUCAAUGGUACAUAAUUCUAAGAGGGUAAAGGGUUUCAUUUAUACAAUUUUUCUUCAAUUUGUUAUUUCACUGCACUUAUUAAUAUAAUAAUAAACACGUC